CUCCAUUCAAAAGGUGGUUACAAAGGCCCAGUCAAGACAUCCACCAAAGUAGAAGAGAACAAAACUCAGUUCGGCACAGACAGACACGUGAUGACGUGGAGUCUCCACCGAGAAAGAUUGUCAUCAGAAGGCCCUUUUCCAGUCGCAAGAACGAGUUGCAGCCACCGCCUCAUGAGAAAAGUCCUUGGGCCAGUGAGAUUGAAAAGAAUCUCCAAAGCAAUGAAGUUUAUAAUUUUCCUUAUAGAUCAAAUUGAAUGGUAAAAUAUUGAAAA
Syngnathoides biaculeatus (alligator pipefish) is the source of this 272-nucleotide long non-coding RNA. RefSeq lists it as uncharacterized. NCBI's taxonomy places the organism in Eukaryota, Metazoa, Chordata, Actinopteri, Syngnathiformes, Syngnathidae. The transcript is spliced from 3 exons. The record is from RefSeq and is a predicted model, not a curated record.